ACGGCACCGUUAACUUUUGACGGAAAGGGUGCAUACUGCAGCGCACACACAAAAUAGUAAGGGGAUGUGAAAUGCAAUUUCCUAAACUAUGUAUACUAAAGUGUGUUUGGGCCCAAGUGUAGAGGUGCAAUUUGCAAUUAACUCUAUUUUUUAUCAAGCUCCUGUGAAUGUUUAUUUCCUGUAACCAGUUCUUGUGAAUGCGCAUGCAUGAAUAUGUAUGCGCAUGCAUGAAUAUGUAAGAUAUGCUGACAAUACAAUUUAAACCUUAAGUAUGAAAAUUUUG
RNAcentral lists this long non-coding RNA (283 nucleotides) under Daucus carota (carrot). RNAcentral's name for it is "long non-coding RNA (DCAR_LNC002987)". The record is from RNAcentral. Lineage: Eukaryota; Viridiplantae; Streptophyta; Magnoliopsida; Apiales; Apiaceae.